Molecule: ribosomal RNA, 1157 nt
Filed under: Salmonella enterica
Lineage: Bacteria; Pseudomonadati; Pseudomonadota; Gammaproteobacteria; Enterobacterales; Enterobacteriaceae
Description: partial 23S ribosomal RNA
Rfam family: Bacterial large subunit ribosomal RNA
Source: RNAcentral
GGGUUGUGAGGUUAAGCGACUAAGCGUACACGGUGGAUGCCCUGGCAGUCAGAGGCGAUGAAGGACGUGCUAAUCUGCGAUAAGCGCCGGUAAGGUGAUAUGAACCGUUAUAACCGGCGAUUUCCGAAUGGGGAAACCCAGUGUGACUCGUCACACUAUCAUUAACUGAAUCCAUAGGUUAAUGAGGCGAACCGGGGGAACUGAAACAUCUAAGUACCCCGAGGAAAAGAAAUCAACCGAGAUUCCCCCAGUAGCGGCGAGCGAACGGGGAGGAGCCCAGAGUCUGAAUCAGCAUGUGUGUUAGUGGAAGCGUCUGGAAAGGCGCGCGAUACAGGGUGACAGCCCCGUACACAAAAGCGCAUAUGCUGUGAGCUCGAUGAGUAGGGCGGGACACGUGGUAUCCUGUCUGAAUAUGGGGGGACCAUCCUCCAAGGCUAAAUACUCCUGACUGACCGAUAGUGAACCAGUACCGUGAGGGAAAGGCGAAAAGAACCCCGGCGAGGGGAGUGAAAAAGAACCUGAAACCGUGUACGUACAAGCAGUGGGAGCACCCUUUGGGGUGUGACUGCGUACCUUUUGUAUAAUGGGUCAGCGACUUAUAUUCUGUAGCAAGGUUAACCGUAUAGGGGAGCCGCAGGGAAACCGAGUCUUAACCGGGCGUUAAGUUGCAGGGUAUAGACCCGAAACCCGGUGAUCUAGCCAUGGGCAGGUUGAAGGUUGGGUAACACUAACUGGAGGACCGAACCGACUAAUGUUGAAAAAUUAGCGGAUGACCUGUGGCUGGGGGUGAAAGGCCAAUCAAACCGGGAGAUAGCUGGUUCUCCCCGAAAGCUAUUUAGGUAGCGCCUCGUGAAUUCAUCUCCGGGGGUAGAGCACUGUUUCGGCUAGGGGGCCAUCCCGGCUUACCAACCCGAUGCAAACUGCGAAUACCGGAGAAUGUUAUCACGGGAGACACACGGCGGGUGCUAACGUCCGUCGUGAAGAGGGAAACAACCCAGACCGCCAGCUAAGGUCCCAAAGUCAUGGUUAAGUGGGAAACGAUGUGGGAAGGCCCAGACAGCCAGGAUGUUGGCUUAGAAGCAGCCAUCAUUUAAAGAAAGCGUAAUAGCUCACUGGUCGAGUCGGCCUGCGCGGAAGAUGUAACGGGGCUAAACCAU